Molecule: ribosomal RNA, 253 nt
Filed under: uncultured bacterium
Lineage: Bacteria
Description: partial 16S ribosomal RNA
Rfam family: Bacterial small subunit ribosomal RNA
Source: RNAcentral
UACGGGGGGGGCAAGCGUUGUUCGGAAUUACUGGGCGUAAAGCGCACGUAGGCGGCUUUUUAAGUCAGGGGUGAAAUCCCGGGGCUCAACCUCGGAACUGCCCUUGAAACUGGGAAGCUAGAAUCUUGGAGAGGCGAGUGGAAUUCCGAGUGUAGAGGUGAAAUUCGUAGAUAUUCGGAAGAACACCAGUGGCGAAGGCGACUCGCUGGACAAGUAUUGACGCUGAGGUGCGAAAGCGUGGGGAGCAAACAGG